GAUGAAGAACGCAGCGAAAUGCGAUAAGUAAUGUGAAUUGCAGAAUUCAGUGAAUCAUCGAAUCUUUGAACGCACAUUGCGCCCGCCAGUAUUCUGGCGGGCAUGCCUGUUCGAGCGUCAUUUCAACCAUCAAGCCCCCGGGCUUGUGUUGGGGACCUGCGGCUGCCGCAGGCCCUGAAAACCAGUGGCGGGCUCGCUAGUCACUCCGAGCGUAGUAGUUACAUCUCGCUCAGGGCGUGCUGCGGGUUCCGGCCGUUAAAAGCCUUUUACCCCAAGGUUGACCUCGGAUCAGGUAGGAAGACCCGCUGACCUUAAGCAUAUCAAUAAGCGGAGGA
RNAcentral lists this unclassified non-coding RNA (335 nucleotides) under soil metagenome. RNAcentral's name for it is "partial contains 5.8S ribosomal RNA, internal transcribed spacer 2, and large subunit ribosomal RNA". The stretch from base 1 to 120 matches the Rfam family "5.8S ribosomal RNA", at positions 35 to 154 of the family's 154-position model. The record is from RNAcentral.